UGGUGCCUAUUUGUUCCCACCCUUCGCCGAAUGCCUGGUUGGAAUCAAGAGGCCUGAU
RNAcentral lists this microRNA precursor (58 nucleotides) under Cordylochernes scorpioides. The record is from RNAcentral. Lineage: Eukaryota; Metazoa; Arthropoda; Arachnida; Pseudoscorpiones; Chernetidae.